AAAGAAACUAACAACGAUUCUCUCACAGUCACUGCGCGUUUACCGGGAAAAGUCUAAAUUUAAAAUCGCUUGGGUUUACCUGAGUGAGUUGUAAUUUGAAGAAAGUGUUUCGACUUUUCGGGUCCGAUCCAAAUCCUUUGGGAUGAGGUAUCAUCGAGGGUGAGAAUCCCGUUCAUGAUUGAACCUGAGCUGUCAAUGAUUCAUUCUCUAACUCUCGAGUUGUUUGGGAUUCAGGCUCAAAUAUUGUUGGUAAAUCCCACCUAAGGCUGUUAUAUCUGCGAGAGACCGAUAGCGAACAUGUACCGUGACCCAAAGAUGAAAAGAACUUUGAAAAGAGAGUUCCAAAGUACGUGAAAUUGUUGAAAGGGAAACGAUUGAAGUCAGUCAUGCGUACGAGCGGUCAACUUGGUGGCGUGAGUCUCUCAUCUCCUCCGUGUGCACUUCCUCGUCUGGCAGGUUAGCAGUCUAAGGCCGAUUGUCAUCCAAAUAAUUGGGGUAAUGUGGCUUCGCUUCGGUUAGUAGUUAUAGACCUGGUGGAUGUGGCGAUUGGGAUUAGAGGAUUGCAGCGGAUGCCUCUCGGCUAGUCAUCCGAUUCCUGGCUGUCACCUCGCUUUCGACAGCUUGCUGACGAUUGUGGGACUCGGCGGUCUACCUGUCGGUGUUGACUUAAAUUCGCUUGAGGAUGGUCACGUAAUCCGAUUUAACGACCCGU
Molecule: ribosomal RNA, 712 nt
Filed under: Acaulospora laevis
Lineage: Eukaryota; Fungi; Glomeromycota; Glomeromycetes; Diversisporales; Acaulosporaceae
Description: partial large subunit ribosomal RNA
Rfam family: Eukaryotic large subunit ribosomal RNA
Source: RNAcentral